AGUAGGGAAUAUUGCACAAUGGGCGAAAGCCUGAUGCAGCAACGCCGCGUGCGCGAUGAAGGCCUUCGGGUCGUAAAGCGCUUUUCGGGGAGAUGAGGAAGGACAGUAUCCCCGGAAUAAGUCUCGGCUAACUACGUGCCAGCAGCCGCGGUAACACGUAGGAGGCAAGCGUUAUCCGAAUUUACUGGGCGUAAAGCGCGUGCAGGCGGUUCGGUAAGUUGGAUGUGAAAUCUCCUGGCUCAACUGGGAGAGGUCGUUCAAUACUGUCGGACUAGAGGAUGGUAGAGGGAGGUGGAAUUCCCGGUGUAGUGGUGAAAUGCGUAGAUAUCGGGAGGAACACCAGUGGCGAAAGCGGCCUCCUGGACCAUUCCUGACGCUCAGACGCGAAAGCUAGGGGAGCGAACGGGAUUAGACACCCCGGUAGUCCUAGCUGUAAACGAUGUGGACUUGGCGUCGGUGGGGUAAAAGCCAUCGGUGCCGGAGCUAACGCGGUAAGUCCACCGCCUGGGGACUACGGCCGCAAGGUUAAAACUCAAAGGAAUUGACGGGUCCCCGCACAAGCAGCGGAGCGUGUGGUUUAAUUCGAUGAUACACGAAAAACCUUACCCGGGUUUGACAUAUAAGUAGUAGGGAUCUGAAAGGUGACCGACCCUUCGGGGAGCUUAUACAGGUGCUGCAUGGCUGUCGUCAGCUCGUGCCGUGAGGUGUCCGGUUAAGUCCGGUAACGAGCGCAACCCUCACUGUAUGUUACAAGUGUCAUACGGAACUGCCGGUAUCAAGCCGGAGGAAGGUGGGGAUGACGUCAAGUCAGCAUGGCCUUUAUAUCCGGGGCUACACACACGCUACAAUGGCCAGUACAAUAGGUUUGCAAGACCGUAAGGUGGAGCCAAUCCUUAAAGCUGGUCUCAGUUCAGAUUGUAGGCUGCAACCCGCCUACAUGAAGUCGGAGUUGCUAGUAACCGCAGGCCAGCCAUACUGCGGUGAAUACGUUCUCGGGGAUUGUACACACCGCCCGUCACGUCAUGGGAGCUGACAACACCUGAAGCCGGUAUCCUAACCGCAAGGAGGGAGCUGUCGAAGGUGGGGUUGGUGACUGGGACG
This 1101-nucleotide ribosomal RNA is filed under the name uncultured bacterium. RNAcentral's name for it is "bacterial SSU rRNA". It matches the Rfam family "Bacterial small subunit ribosomal RNA", at positions 353 to 1482 of the family's 1533-position model. The record is from RNAcentral.